CAAUAAGCGGAGGAAAAGAAACCAACAGGGAUUGCUCUAGUAACGGCGAGUGAAGCAGCAAUAGCUCAAAUUUGAAAUCUGGCGUCUUCGACGUCCGAGUUGUAAUUUGUAGAGGAUGCUUCUGAGUAACCACCGACCUAAGUUCCUUGGAACAGGACGUCAUAGAGGGUGAGAAUCCCGUAUGCGGUCGGAAAGGUGCUCUAUACGUAGCUCCUUCGACGAGUCGAGUUGUUUGGGAAUGCAGCUCUAAAUGGGAGGUAAAUUUCUUCUAAAGCUAAAUAUCGGCCAGAGACCGAUAGCGCACAAGUAGAGUGAUCGAAAGAUGAAAAGCACUUUGGAAAGAGAGUUAAAAAGCACGUGAAAUUGUUAAAAGGGAAGGGAUUGCAACCAGACUUGCUCGCGGUGUGCCGCCGGUCUUCUGACCGGUCUACUCGCCGCGUAGCAGGCCAGCAUCGUCUGGUGCCGCUGGAUAAGACUUGAGGAAUGUAGCUCCCUCGGGAGUGUUAUAGCCUCUUGUGAUGCAGCGAGCGCCAGGCGAGGUCCGCGCUUUCGGCUAGGAUGCUGGGCGUUAAUGGUUCGUAAAUUCCACGNCCCCCGUNCGUAUGAAAAACCACCCGUGAGA
This 622-nucleotide ribosomal RNA is filed under the name uncultured fungus. RNAcentral's name for it is "LSU rRNA". It matches the Rfam family "Eukaryotic large subunit ribosomal RNA", at positions 44 to 493 of the family's 3401-position model. The record is from RNAcentral. Lineage: Eukaryota; Fungi.